This 233-nucleotide unclassified non-coding RNA is filed under the name plant metagenome. RNAcentral describes it as "partial contains small subunit ribosomal RNA, internal transcribed spacer 1, and 5.8S ribosomal RNA". The record is from RNAcentral.
UUUCCGUAGGUGAACCUGCGGAAGGAUCAUUAGUGAAUUUUAGGGCGUCGACUUGUAGAGCCUGACCUCCACUUUCUUACCCUGUGCACUUAUUUGGCGGAAAAAGGGAAUAGUGAGUGUUUAACGACGAUUGCGAAUUCCUUAUUUCUGCGGCUUACUUUAAACGCUAGUCAAAGUAUGUAACGACAUAUAGAAAUACAAAAAAACUUUCAACAACGGAUCUCUUGGCUCUC